UCAAAUUUAACAGCUCUUUACCGCGAGCAUCACUCGAGUUUGAACCCCAGACGGUGUUAUGGGAAUUAAAAUCACCAACAAGAACGAAUGGGUUUUAUUGCCACGACUUGAUAGUUUGUAUCGAUUCUGAUUCUUUUAUAUGGUAUGUCUUGGCGGAUCGCGAACGCUACACCUCCACACGCUCUUUCCGGUUUUAAAUGUGUUUCCUGAAGAGCGAUGCACACCGGACUAU
Molecule: long non-coding RNA, 232 nt
Organism: Photinus pyralis (common eastern firefly)
Lineage: Eukaryota; Metazoa; Arthropoda; Insecta; Coleoptera; Lampyridae
Exons: 3
Source: RefSeq, a predicted model, not a curated record